UACAGAGGGUGCGAGCGUUAAUCGGAAUUACUGGGCGUAAAGCGCACGUAGUCGGCUUUGCAAGUCGGGUGUGAAAUCCCCGGGCUCAACCUGGGAACUGCAUCCGAGACUGCAUUGCUAGAGUAUGGGAGAGGGAAGCGGAAUUUCUGGUGUAGCAGUGAAAUGCGUAAAUAUCAGAAGGAACAUCAGUGGCGAAGGCGGCUUCCUGGACCAAUACUGACGAUCAGGUGCGAAAGCGUGGGGAGCAAACAGG
Molecule: ribosomal RNA, 253 nt
Filed under: uncultured bacterium
Lineage: Bacteria
Description: partial 16S ribosomal RNA
Rfam family: Bacterial small subunit ribosomal RNA
Source: RNAcentral